GCGGUUUACAGACAAAUUUUAACAUAGCCUAUGUUCACUCAAUUAUGUGGACUUGCGCCCCGCAACGUCUGGAAAUGGCCACCAGAUGGCGAGAUGAAUUCACCCUUCAUAGGAAAAGCAGCAGCGGCCUGGAGUGUCACCCCUGCUCCCGCUUUGACAUCUUAAAUGAAGAGCAUGAUUUUAAUAUUUAUAUCCUGACUGGUUUACUCAUAUUGCUUUCUUUCCGUUCCCGCUCCCGUUGUUCUCAUAUUUCACCAGCUAUCAAGCCGCGCUUAUGCGCAAGUCGACAUCACUUCCCCUGGGCGGCGUCAGGGUGCUGUUUGGUAGCCCAGGGCGGUAAUCAGUGCCCCGCGAAGCCGCUCCGCAAGGGCGAGGCACACACGACUCCACCCAGCUCCCGCUGUCGCCUCUGCGCUUAGUCUCACCAAAACUAUUGUUUUUUUAAUUUGGUGGGGUUUUUUUUCGGUUUUUGUUUUGCACAAGUCGCAGAUUUCUGCUUUGUACACUUUUCAUAAUUCAUGAAAAUAGAGGGAUUGAAACGCUAUGUUUGUUAUUUACUUAAUGAAGAGUUCUUCGUUAUGUUGUGGUUAUAUUUAGUCAUGUGACUUCCGCAGUUCCGGUAGAUAAGCUAUAUAAACAGAUUUUUAUUUUAAAAAAAAAAUCUGCUUCAGGAAGAAAAUAUGACUAAAAAGGACUUAUUUUCAAGUAUAUGAAUAAUGCUUAUUUCACUUCACACCUUUCUGCUCAUAGAUCAUGACUGAAAGCUAUUUCCAUGGAAGCAGUCUUUGUUCCCGAUGCACGAUUAAAACAGCCUGACCAGAUCAGUUCCGUGAAUAGCUACAGUCUUCCCAGGAGGGGCCGGCAGGAGCAGCCCUAUAACUCAAAUUUCUCAAUUAAUCCCAGGCCUGUCCGUUCUCCUCCAGCGGCUCCCCGGCAGAGCCCACGGUGCGGAGCUCAGCAGAUGUUUAUUGCGGUACUGGAGCCUGUCACAGGCACUUAGGGCGAUUUCUUGAUCUGCCCCUGCACGGUGGAGCUGCGGGCACGGCACGCCGAGCCGCACUUCACUAAACGUUUUGCCGCUCUGCGAAUCUGAGUCUGCGGUUUAAGGGGUGCAGCGAAGCCUGUGCACUUUGCUGUCAGCGGCCGUCUCCCUGGAGUCGUCACCGCGCCGCUGAGCAGCCUGCCGGUGGUGCCAAAGCCAGCCGGAUCCUGUUCCAGCCAACGAGUCGGCCCCCGUAUCGAUCCGGCCGUGCUGUUAGCCGCUUGCAGUCCUGCCUGCUUUCCUUGUCUCGCUCUGCAGACCCCAGCAUCGGUAAUUGCUCUCCUCUAUAUCCUCCCUCAAUAUAUUUACUAUCGCUCCCACUCUCGACUUACUAUAACAUCCACUCACUGAACAUCUCUGAUUUGCUCCGUAUCCGGACCUAAUAGGCUUAUGUUCCUGAGCUGGGAGAGGCGAGUUGGAUUAAGAAAUCCCUGUCUUGGUUAGUGCUCUUCCCCCCACCACCCACCCCACUGCCGUACGCACCCACCCAUGGACACCCACGCUGCCCUUGUUGUAUUUGUGGACCGCGGGAGGAAGAUAACCCACGUAAACACAGGGAUAAGCGAAGUCUGCCAUCCCAAAAUCUGCACCAACAGGGUGACUAAGCUCCACUUCGGCUUAUAUCCUUAAUAAAAGAACAUUCUCACACGUUCAUUCUUUUAAUCCACCUUUAAUUUGAUUUCUUUUAUCGGUUUUAAUUGGUUUAAUUAGUUUUGCUUUGUCAGUUUUCCCCUUCAUAAGAUUAACAUCAAGUCCUUGAAGAUUGGCCACAUAAGGUGAUCCUGAGUUCCCAUGCCUGACCAUCACCAUAAUUUCAGAUGAGUAACGGGCAUGCAGGCCAGUUUUCGGAGGUCAGGAUGCUCCUGCCUUUUUAGCCCCAUCUGAUGCCCAGAAGCGUCCUAUCUAUACGAACUCUCAGUUUAAAGGAAUGCGUUUCGUAGGUGGGCUGACCCACCUUCUGUUUACUAAAACAGAGACUCACAGAGACAGUGAAAUCAGUCCAGGUUACAGUCUGAAAUCAGGAGAGACGUAUUAUUACACUGAGACAGGGACAACUAGACUGGGGCUGGUUCAGCUUUUCGAAACGGAUUAAUUUAGAUUUAAUAAAGCAUGACUUUCCAUGACUUAUCUCUGUUUUGUUUUGUUGUUUUUUUUUUCAUUUUCAAACGCUACUUAAAAAAAGUUUUAAGCAGCGAAACAGCCUUGAGAGGGAAAAGUACACAAAUACUGUACAUAGAGCCUGUUAGGAAACAUAACCAGCAGUGUAAAGGAAUCAUAUCAUCGCAAAAUUUAAGUCCACCGCAUAUUAUAGGUCAAUAAAUGAUGAAUACAUGAAACAUGCCGUGUUACUUUGUGGGCAUCAAAUGUCUCCACAAUUUGAUAAAAACCUGUUAUUUGCAUGUUUAAGGGACCACCUUUUUGGGCCCCACAAUAGAAACUGAAUUUUAUAAAAAAUCUGUGACUGCAGUCAAAAACUAAAAGACUUGUAUUUAGUUUGGUUACUUAUGGUUAAGGUUAAGUCUGGGUAGGGGUUAAGGUCGUCAAGUUGGGAUUAGAGUUUUCCCUAUAGAAAUGAAUGGAGAGUCCCCACAAAGAUAUAAUUACAAACCUCUGUGUGUGUGUGUGUGUGUGUGUGUGUGCGUGCGUGCGUGCGUGUGUGUGUGUGUGUGUGUGUAUACCCUGCUUUUCACUGUCUUCCCUUCCAGGUCUCUCCUGGGAUCUUCUGCCUUAUGUUCCUGAGAUAAGCUCCAGGCUCCUGUGACCCUGUGCUGGCAUAGUGGUUGGAAGAACAAAUAUAAUAGGUUAUAUAUAGUAUUUAUAUAUGAAUCAUAAAUAUUUCAUAGUCAUGCAUACGCACAUGAUGCACAAAUCUAUAUAUUUUUUAAAUUUUAUAUAUCAUGCACAAAUCGAGAAGACGUGUACAUGUAUGUUUUGUAUGUGCCUCGUGUUAUUCUGUCCCUGCGUGGGCACUCACAUAUAUGUACAGUGUUUCUGAUGAUGAAUUUACAUGCCCUCUUACACGGUGGGGUGUAGUUUGCGUCUGUGUGAAAGUAAAUGAGUGCCAUGAUUUCUUAACACUUGGCAACGGCUUUCCCAACAGAGAAGGCAGAUCACAGGGCAGUUAGGCCUGAAAUGCUUCACUCUCUUGCUUCGUAACUCAGAGAUGUAUUAGUAUGACAGCACAACAGAGAGAAGGCAAGGCCUGUUCCAGGGUGGUUCUGGGCUAAUGUACACCGCAUGCUUCAAAAUCGCAACACCACGGCCGUCUUUGCCAAAGGCCUGUCUCUGGAAGCGGCUUUGGCGCAUUUCAGAUUGUGAUUCAGCGAAAAGCCUGCAGAUGCCAGCUUUAAAAAGCAUGCAAAUCAGGGCUGGUGGUGGCCCAAGAUGUGCAUUUCAUCCUGUUAGAGCAGUUUAUAGUGGGGGGGGGGGGGUGAACAGGUUGUUUUUAUGAGCUGAGCAAUUAUUUCACUGUGUGGGAAUGAAUAUACUGGACAUUCCGGUGGAGAGGAAGUGUUGUUCAUUAAAAAGUAGCAUGCGUUAUUUCGAA
This is a long non-coding RNA of Brienomyrus brachyistius, 3590 nucleotides long. RefSeq lists it as uncharacterized. The record is from RefSeq and is a predicted model, not a curated record. Lineage: Eukaryota; Metazoa; Chordata; Actinopteri; Osteoglossiformes; Mormyridae. The transcript is spliced from 2 exons.